Molecule: ribosomal RNA, 501 nt
Filed under: Alternaria sp. N58
Lineage: Eukaryota; Fungi; Ascomycota; Dothideomycetes; Pleosporales; Pleosporaceae
Description: SSU rRNA
Rfam family: Eukaryotic small subunit ribosomal RNA
Source: RNAcentral
AUAAGCAAUUAUACCGUGAAACUGCGAAUGGCUCAUUAAAUCAGUUAUCGUUUAUUUGAUAAUACCUUACUACUUGGAUAACCGUGGUAAUUCUAGAGCUAAUACAUGCUGAAAAUCCCGACUUCGGAAGGGAUGUGUUUAUUAGAUAAAAAACCAAUGCCCUUCGGGGCUUUUUGGUGAUUCAUGAUAACUUUACGGAUCGCAUAGCCUUGCGCUGGCGACGGUUCAUUCAAAUUUCUGCCCUAUCAACUUUCGAUGGUAAGGUAUUGGCUUACCAUGGUUUCAACGGGUAACGGGGAAUUAGGGUUCGAUUCCGGAGAGGGAGCCUGAGAAACGGCUACCACAUCCAAGGAAGGCAGCAGGCGCGCAAAUUACCCAAUCCCGACACGGGGAGGUAGUGACAAUAAAUACUGAUACAGGGCUCUUUUGGGUCUUGUAAUUGGAAUGAGUACAAUUUAAACCUCUUAACGAGGAACAAUUGGAGGGCAAGUCUGGGCCAGG